UACGUAGGGUGCAAGCGUUAAUCGGAAUUACUGGGCGUAAAGCGUGCGCAGGCGGUUAUGUAAGACAGUUGUGAAAUCCCCGGGCUUAACCUGGGAAUGGCAUUUGUGACUGCAUCGCUGGAGUACGGCAGAGGGGGAUGGAAUUCCGCGUGUAGCAGUGAAAUGCGUAGAUAUGCGGAGGAACACCGAUGGCGAAGGCAAUCCCCUGGGCCUGUACUGACGCUCAUGCACGAAAGCGUGGGGAGCAAACAGG
This 253-nucleotide ribosomal RNA is filed under the name uncultured bacterium. RNAcentral describes it as "partial 16S ribosomal RNA". It matches the Rfam family "Bacterial small subunit ribosomal RNA", at positions 524 to 776 of the family's 1533-position model. The record is from RNAcentral.